AAUUCUUAGCGAUGGAUCACUUGGCUCUGCAUCGAUGAAGAACACAGCUAGCUGCGAGAAUUAAGGUGAAUUGCCAGACGCAUUGAUCACGUGGACACUUCGAAUGCACUUGUGUCUCCGGGUUCCUCCUGGGUUAUGCCUGUCUAAGCUUCA
Cavia aperea (Brazilian guinea pig) is the source of this 153-nucleotide ribosomal RNA. It matches the Rfam family "5.8S ribosomal RNA". Rfam says of the family: 5.8S ribosomal RNA (5.8S rRNA) is a component of the large subunit of the eukaryotic ribosome. The record is from Ensembl. Lineage: Eukaryota; Metazoa; Chordata; Mammalia; Rodentia; Caviidae.